Long non-coding RNA from Panthera uncia (snow leopard), 7620 nucleotides. RefSeq lists it as uncharacterized. The transcript has 3 exons. The record is from RefSeq and is a predicted model, not a curated record. NCBI's taxonomy places the organism in Eukaryota, Metazoa, Chordata, Mammalia, Carnivora, Felidae.
GGCCGCCAGGGGCUCAGCGGAAGUCGGGGCAGAGACCUGGAAGGAGGGGCGGCUGGUGGAGGGCCCGCCGGGGCCCAUUCAGAUUUGCUCUUGCGGCUCAGUUAAGCGUGGAUUUAAGAGUGGAGCGCAGGCACUCUGUGCUCUCGGGGGAAGGCGGCGGCCAAGAGUGCAUCGCGCUGCGGGUGCUCAGAUCUGAAGGGCGGGAGCUCGGUGGUCGGGGUUCCAGUGCGACUCCUGCGGGAGUCCUCAACCAAGCCGGGGCUCCCGGUGCUGAACCAGAGGUCUUCAUUUCUGUGGGCCCCACGUUGGAAAGUUGAAGUCGUGAGGGCUCUCUCUUCCAGGCAGAAGGUGUGUGUGAAUGCGAGCGUGUGCCGAGGUGCAGUGAGUUUAUAACAUUCAAAUUCUAUUCCAUCAUAUUCUACGGACUGGCCAAAAUUUAAAAAUAUUACACCUGUGCUGCUCCUGCCAAGUAUGGAUACACACUCCCCAAACUAUUCUCAGUUUUAAUGAACAGAAGAAUCACCUGGAGCUGCUGAUUUAAAAAGAUGAAGAUGAAGAUGAGGGUGAAGACGAAGACAAAGAAGAAGAUGGAGAAGAAGGAGAAACGAGAAAGAAAGAAAUAACAAAAGAAGAUGGAGAUUUUUAUAAUCCCUGUCCCUUGAAAUUUUGAUUUGUAAGUUUGUGGUUGGACCCAAGAACCAUCAUUUUACAUAAGCACCAUAGGUGUUGUUAACCCCACCGAUUGUCUGUUGAUUCCUAUCAUUUUCUUUCUUAGAACAUAAUCAAAAUUCCAAUCAGAAUUCUCUGGAGACAUCCAGCGUAGUCCAACUUUGGUAGGUCCUGCUCCUAACUUUAUGGUCUUAGGCAUUUUCCCAUAAGAGUUCAGAAGUAGGGGCGCUCGGGUGGCUCAGUCGGUUGAGCAUCUGACUUCGGCUCAGGUCAUGAUCUCGUGGUUCAUGAGUUCGAGCCCUGCAUCAGGCCCUGUACUGACAGCUUGGAGCCUGGAGCCUGCUUCGAAUUCUGUGUCUCCCUCUCUCUCUCUGCCCCUCCCCCCCUCACGUUCUGUCUCUCUCUUUCUCUCUCUCUCAAAAAAUAAACAUUGGAAAAAAAAAAAAAGAGUUCAGAAGUAGGUGAGGUGUCAGAGCCGGGCUGAUGCAUUCAUUCAUUCAGCAAACCUUUUUGAGCACCUGUAUCAGGGAAACGAAUAGACAUAAAUCUCUUACGUUCUUGCUGGGAGGAGUCAAUAAAUCAAUGAGUACACUAGGUGAGCAGUACUAGAGAAAAAAGUAAGCAGGGUAGGGAGAUUGUGAGUGCAGAGGGUCUUGCAGACAUUGUGGUUCUCAAUGGGCUGACCUGGUUAGGUCUCACCGACAAAGUGACUUGGAAGUGAGCCGUGUGGCUCUUCAGAAGAUGAGUGUCCUGGGCAAAGAGGACAGCCAGUAUAAUGUCCCUGAUCAGAAGCUGAGCACACCUGGUGUGAGAAAGGGAGGGGGUGUGGCAGGGGCUGAGGUCCCAAAAGGGUGCCGGGGGCCAGAUCAGGCACUUAACAGGGCAUUGCAAACUCGCUGGCUCAUUCGCAAGUGCGAUGGGGAGCCAUUGGAAGAUUCUGAGCAGUGACAUGAUCUGAAUUACAUUUUUAAAGUAUCACACAGGCUGCUUUAGGGGGAAUAGGAGCAGAAGCAGGGAGACCAGUUAGGAGGUGACUCCAGUAAUCCAGGUGAAAUAUGGCAAUAGGGUGGUGACAGGUGGUUGGAUGCCAUAUAUAUUUUGAAGGUAGAAUCCAUCGUUUUCUGAUUGAUUCGAUGUGAAUGUUGGAGAAGAGAGAUCUCAAGGACUCUAAUCAGGGUGAAAUCUUGGAAUUGUUGCUUGGUAUGCUGAAUAAAAGCAUCCCCAAAGGAGGAAGCGCAUGGUCUACGUGUUGCUGGCAGCCAUCCAUCCUGUGUUCACGAGGAGAGCCAGCCUGAGGUUGGAGCCAAUGCUGUGUUUGGCAGGGCAGAGUGGCAGGAAGAAAUUGUCCUGAUGGCAGUGCUGAGCCACUGAGUCUACACCCGAAGUCGGAUCGACCUCUGCACUGCCAGUUACGAGAACAAAUGAGUCCCCUUGGUGACUUUGUUAUUUGCAUCCAAAACAUGAAUACUGCUACUCUGACCUAGACUCAGAGACGUCUUUCAGAUGCAUGAUUUGCCUAAAGAAACUUUUCAUAGUCCUACCUGAGUUAGCCUGCAGACCUCAGGUAUGACUUUCUCCAAAUGUUCUUUCUCAUGCCUCUUUCAUCUCACUGGUCUUUGGCACAUCAUAAUCUCCUUAAGAUAAGAGUACUGAGUCAGGAGCAGGGCCAGACAGACCUGGCACGGCGGAAAGUCUGGAAUUAUUAGCCCAAUAUCCCUAUUAAUAGUAGUGGAGGUAGCUUCACCUGCAUUUUACAAAGUUGAGAGUAGAGAUCAAAAGGUCUUCUAUUUCAGAUCUAAGAUUAGUUUUUCUGAUGGCCAUUCACAAUCUAUGUGUCACAUACAAGAGAGUAGAGCUUUUCAGGAGGAGGUCAUUUAACUGGUUGCUUCACUGACUGGCAGUGUAUUGGUACAGAUACCACAGAUCUGAUCUUUAGCUCUACAGAUGCAAUAACUAUUGGGUCCCUUCAUUCAGGGUGAUUAAGCUGGGAGGGAUCAAUUCAUCAUAGCCAAACUUACAAGAGACUGAUAGAUAAACCAGCCUGUCAUGUUAUUGAUAGUUAAGAAAUGUUUCUCAGACUUGAAAACGUGUGGACCCUUGAAUAUAUCCCCAUUUGAGAACUAUUGCUUUCACACUUACAUUAUGAGACUUUAGAUGGUCACUUGACCAAAAUAGUCAUCAAUGCAAAUCCAGUCUGGGCAUUGAUAUUACAGAGCAUUACUCUGUAAAAAGAUGGUGAUCCAGGUGAUGCUUGUGUUAAAAUGUUUAUGCGAUCUUUCAAAUGAAAACACAACUUUUAAAAGUUAUUCUAAAGAAUUCGUGGACCUCUGAGAAUUUGAUUAAAGUCUCCAAUAUGGAAAACAAUGCAAUAGGAGAAAGGCUUUGUUUGAAAAUUGGAGCUGGUUAUAUACACAGGAUGCUCUAAAGCAAGUCUACUCAGGAAACUGGAUUGUAGAUGUAAAGGCAGAUUCUGGGGUGUAGAAUAAGAACAGAAGGAGCUGGCUGUUCGCAGGGAGCACAGCCUUUAGACCAGGGGAGCUGGUUUUCCUCUCUGUACUUGCUGUGCAAAUACUUCUGUUUAAGACUACCAGUCAGGGAGAACAGAGUUCCAUCGUUCUUGCAUCAUGGUAGAGAAGCACUGACAACUUCUUAUUUACUAACUUCCUUUUUCCUAGACCUCAUCUUGAAUCCGUGAACCCUCCCUGCCAGUGCAUCAUUUCUAGGUAAAUAGGAAGCAUGUUCUCUUCCUGACAAGGAAGGAGCUGGGGCCAGAUUGGUGGAACUCCAAAGCCCAUGCUCUUUCCAAUUAGCAAGUUGCUGGUUUCCAUCAUCGAACUAAAAUAAUGAGGGACCCGUAUAUUCGAUAGGAGAUGGUAAAAGCAACUUUGAAAAAAAUCUCUUCCAAUUUAGUCUAGAGCAAACUCUGAGAGUCGAUCAUUCUUCUUAAAUGACUUCACACAGUGUUCUCUGCCUACUCCUAUUUUAGAUCUACUUUUAACAAACCCUCCCCUCUCCCACCUCCAGCCCCAACUGAGGAACGAGGGAGCACUCACGGCCCAUUGUCACAUACUCCCACUUCUGGCUUUGGAACCAGGCUGGAGUAGAGCCAGACUCAGUGCUGGGCUGCCUCCAAGCAGGCUGGAGAAUGCAUCCUGUUCCCAGGCAGUGAUUCCAAGGGCAGCGUUCAAUCGCCAGUUCUUCCCUGGCCCAUCAGAGCCUGGCAAGGGCAUGUAAUCCCUUGGUCCAUUUAGCCAAUGCCUGCCUGUUCUCUAGUAGAGUCAGAAAUUGGGGGAGGGGUGCCUGACCAGUUUAGAAAUGAGAGGGCUCCCAGGGAGCAUGCCCUGAAGCCCAGGAAGCAGUGCUCUGGAGUAUUCAUUCAGUCGUUGCUAACCCCUUCCUUUCCUAUGGCCACACUCCUUGGUGCUGAUGCCUGUAAACGUGCCACCAGUGACGGCCAGCCAGCUAGACUACAUCUGUAGUCUACCAUUUCUUACUUUUGUGUGCACUUCUUCCCAAAGCCUGGAAUACUGUCCCUUUUAGCUCCUCCUCCCCAAAUCCUCCCCACCCUUUAAGAGCCAUGGCUGAAAUGAGCCUCCCAGAAGGCCUUCUGUGAUGCAUAACCACAAACGAUGCCUCCUUUUGUCAACAGCCAUACCCAUCUUCCUGGACCUAUCUUAAAACAAUUUUCUGGUUUCUGUUGUAACUAUUGACAGACAUUUCUUGUCUCUUCCAUCGAGAAACAAGGUAGGACGUGAGGGUGUGUCUGACUGCUUUUCUUUUUCCCACAAGGAAAAACAUAUUGUAGGUGCUUAAUAUUUGUUGAAUGAAUAAUAAAUUGGAAGCAUUGUACACGUGGUGCACAGAUUAUGGAAGACUGGAUCCUUUACACCUUUCUCUUUAGAAACUGCCCCUAGGGGUCCCUCUGAUCUCCCCACACACCUGCAGCUAACAGGGCCUAUUGAGGGGGGAGGGGAGCCUCCAGGUCCCUGAUUCAGCAUUAAGCCAAUAUCCUUUCUGAAUGGUCAAGUGCUUAGACCAUAGCAGUGGUUAAAUAUUUUGUACAUCAGCCCUGCUUUUAAGACAGGUGGCACUCAACCAAAUGACGUAGAAGAAACACGGGUUCAAAUGCAUGUUUUGGCAGUCAGACAUUCUGGUUGAGUGCAGGGCACAGGUGAGGUGCGUUGAGGCAGAUACUAGAAGGUGGGGAAGUUGGGUGUUGCCAGAAGCUGGAAGGCAGGGAAUGAUAUCACCUUUCAUUAAUUAUCUGUGUAACCUUGGGCAAAAGAGCACCUGAGUGCUAGUUCUGGUGACUGGAUCUUGAGCAAGUCACUUCAUCUUGUCACAGUUAAUUCAUCUACACAAUAGCAGGAUGGUUGGGGUGAUAGUGAGAUACAGGGGUGCUUGGUGCUUGUAGAAAGUCACGAGUGCAGCCUCAGGGAUGGAUAUAGGUCAAAGAGACAGUGGUUAUUUACAUGUUGAGCCUUCCUGUGGAAGAAAGCAUCUAUUUUGUUCCUGUGCUUUAAUAGGAUAUAUUUUGUGGUUCUAGACCAACCCAUGAAAUGGAGCAUCUGGCAAAAGAUGGGAAAGAUAAACCGGUGUAUUCAACAUCAACCUGCUAAUUUGCCCAAGAGGCUCCUGUGUUUUUGUUCAAAGCAGGACGCGUCCCUUGUCAAGUCAAAUCACAAUUAAACCAUGCUUCUUUUUUCUUGGUAAAAGCAAUUCUUCUUGUCCUUGAAGUUCUUUGUCAUUUCUCCUCUGAAGGGGCUCACAUCGCGUAGCCCUAUGUGACAUUGCCAUGUGAGUGUGGAGUAGGUUAUGUAAAUGUCUGGCAUGGUUUAGUUUAUUAUCACUGCUUUUAGUACUUGGUAAACAAAAGAAGAGUCAUUUGUUGGUUAUGUUUUUUCUGUGCAAACAGAAUUGCUUAAUAGAAGAGAAGGAAAUAGAGCAACUGUUGCUAAAUGACACAAAAGCAGAAGUUGAUUGAGUUCCUUUCACAUGAGUAUUCAAGUAUUUCAGCCAUGAUACUCUGGCAGCUUAGAAUUGAGGAAGGCCUGAACCGGGUUGAGCAGAGUCAGAAGUUGAAGAUAUAUGAGCUACCAGAGAAAUGCAGGCAGGACGUAGAAAUGUGGAGGUGAUAUUGGGGGUGAAAUCUCGGAGCAGAACCACUUAGUAUGAAAACCACUCAGAAACCGAGUUAUAAUCAUGUAAAAGAAACACACGCUGCAUACUUUCUAAUUUCUCAGAACACGUUGUGUUUCAGGGACUUUGUUGAAACUGGCUCUGUGCAAGACCAAACCCCUGCCUGGCUGAGCAGUAAGAUAACUUUCUAGAUCUGGGAGCCAUUUGGAAUCCAAAAGGCUUGAAAACACACGUAUUACGAUAGCUUAGAAUCUGGAACGGAGAUUAUGGUUUUAACAAUACGCACUUAAACGUGAAUUGUUAUCAUUGGUUAGACAGAUAUCAAAUUUAUCCAACACAGAAUUCCUGGCCUCUUUUCUUCCCCCAUAAAAGCCAUAAAUAUGGCUUUUUUCCAAGCGAGAAAUAAAGGCUGCAGGGUGAGUGGUAAAGCAGCUGAUUGUUUCUCUGGUAAAGGGAAUUUUCAUAACUCAUUCACCUGCCACUGCAUUAAUGCAAAGAUUUGCUGUUGGCUAUUAAUUAUCCCCUUUAAACAUUUGGUAUCUGUUUCUAAUCUUGAUAAAAGAGCAGUUCUUAUUGUGGUUUUCAGAGAAAGUAUGGUACCUGACAGAAAGGCACUGACAGGGCCAGAGUUUUAACGGGGCAACUUUGUUACCCAGAAAGGGUUUUGGAGUGCUAUUUUAGCACAUUCUACCUCAGAAAAUUAAGUUUUAUCCGGUCGCAUUUGUUAAAAUGCAAGUAUAUUGAAUAUGUGUCUGGUUAGUUUCGCAACAAGAAGGCUAGUCCCCAAUUCCGCUUAUACCAGAUGUUGAUGCCUCAUUUUUACCUUACGUUUGAUGCUUUAAGAAAGGUUUUAAGUAUAAUAAGUAAGGAACAACACAGACGAUUAUCUUCUUCAGGUCUCUGAUCAAUGUCGCCAUCUCAAUGAAGCCUACCUUGACCACCUUAUUUAAAAUUGUGACACUGGCCCCAAUCCUCACACUCUUCCUUUGCUCCAUAGCACUCCACACUUUCCAACUUACUAGUUACGUUUAUUGUUUGUUACCUGUCUUCUUUGACUAGAUGGUAACCUUCAUGAGGGCAGGACUGCCUGUGUUGUUCACUGAUAUAUUUCUAGUGCCAUAAACAGAGCCUGGUACAUAGUGGGUACAUAGUAAGUAUGUUGAAUGAUUAAAUGAACAUCUAUGUGCCUGCAGUUUCAAAUCCUCUUCUGUUCACAGGAUACUACCAACAUCGAAGAACCCUAAGGCUCAUUUCUUAAGGCAAAACCCCCUGUGAAUGUAUGUGAUUAAAGCACAGUCAGAGAACUGAUGUUGGGCACAAAUGUUUGGAGCCCCAGUAGCUCUUUGAGCAUUGCUAGAAGCAUGUGAGUGCCGGCUCUGUAUGGGACAUAAGGAGAAAGCUCUCUCAGUUGCUAGGAAGUCAAGGCCACAUGUAUUUGCGAGGCACUCAUUUCUGUGUACUCCGUGCUGAACCCACUGCGAGGUUCCCCCUAAAGGAGAAGGUCCUGCCUUUGUUCUCAACAUGUUUGCCAAAUAGUAAUGGUUACCUGUGGUUCAUGACCCUUAAUAGCAAGAGGAUCCACCUAAAUUUGACAAAAGAACUGCUCUAAUUAUUUGAGGGCUUAAAAAAAAGAUCUCAGGCCAAUGAAGAUCAUUAAACAUACUUGGAACCACUUGCUCAGACAGGUAGUAGCUAAUUCCUUUGACCUGAUGACCGCAGAUUUUUAAAAGUAAUUAUUUGUGUAGUGAGGCUGAGCUGCUUAUUUUCAUCGUAUCUCCAUAUCCUAGCUUGCUUGUCAUGAAAACAACAUGC